This 69-nucleotide transfer RNA is filed under the name Cricetulus griseus (Chinese hamster). It matches the Rfam family "tRNA". From Rfam's summary of the family: Transfer RNA (tRNA) molecules are approximately 80 nucleotides in length. The record is from Rfam by way of RNAcentral. Lineage: Eukaryota; Metazoa; Chordata; Mammalia; Rodentia; Cricetidae.
UUCAGGGCUCAGUGGUAGAGCACUUGCCUUCCAUGCACAAGGUCCUGGGUUCAAUAUCCAGAACUGAAA